RNAcentral lists this ribosomal RNA (1347 nucleotides) under metagenome. RNAcentral's name for it is "bacterial LSU rRNA". It matches the Rfam family "Bacterial large subunit ribosomal RNA", at positions 1594 to 2925 of the family's 2925-position model. The record is from RNAcentral.
GGUGAUCCCGGCUGCCGAGAAAAGCUUCGGCGUCAGGCUCAAAGCCGCCCGUACCCCAAACCGACACUGGUGGUCAGGUAGAGAAUACCAAAGCGAUCGAGCGAAUCCUGGUCAAGGAACUCGGCAAAUCACUCCCGUUCCUUCGGUUUAAGGGAGACCCCCGAUGGUGAACACACUUGCUGUGGGAGCUUUUGGGGGUGGCACAGACCAGGGGGUAGCGACUGUUUACCAAAAACACAGGUGCAUGCGAAGGCGCAAGCCGCUGUAUAUGCGCUGACGCCUGCCCGGUGCCGGAAGGUUAAGAGGAUCCGUCAGCCUUCGGGUGAAGCGGUGAAUUCAAGCCCCGGUAAACGGCGGUGGUAACAAUAACCAUCCUAAGGUAGCGAAAUUCCUUGUCGGGUAAGUUCCGACCUGCACGAAUGGCGUAACGACUUCCCCACUGUCUCGACCAGGAGCUCGGCGAAAUUGCAGUACGAGUAAAGAUGCUCGUUAAGCGCAGAAGGACGAAAAGACCCCGGGACCUUUACUAUACCUUGGUAUUGGCAUUCGGUGUGGAUUGUGUAGCAUAGGCGGGAGGCCGAGAGGCGCGGUCGCCAGAUCGCGCGGAGCCGUAAGGUGAAAUACCGCUCUGCUCGCAUUGGAUGUCUAACCUCGAACAGUCAUCCUGUUCAGGGACAGUGCCUGGCGGGUAGUUUAACUGGGGCGGUUGCCUCCCAAAGAGUAACGGAGGCGCCCAAAGGUCCGCUCAGCCCGGUUGGCAAUCGGGUGGCGAGUGCAAGUGCACAAGCGGGCUUGACUGCGAGGACGACGGUCCGAGCAGGGACGAAAGUCGGGACUAGUGAUCCGGUGCCGGUGUACGGACGCGGCAUCGCUCAACGGAUAAAAGGUACCCCGGGGAUAACAGGCUGAUCAUUCCCAAGAGUCCAUAUCGACGGGAUGGUUUGGCACCUCGAUGUCGGCUCGUCGCAUCCUGGGGCUGGAGCAGGUCCCAAGGGUUCGGCUGUUCGCCGAUUAAAGCGGCACGCGAGCUGGGUUCAGAACGUCGUGAGACAGUUUGGUCUCUAUCCUCUGCGCUCGUUGGAAUGCUGAGGAGGCCUGCCCAUAGUACGAGAGGACCUGGGUGGACGAACCUCUGGUAUGCCGGUUGUCACGCCAGUGGCACGGCCGGUUGGCUACGUUCGGAAGGGAUAACCGCUGAAAGCAUCUAAGCGGGAAGCCUGCUCCAAGAUAAGCAUUCCGUGGAACCUUCGAGUUCCUGUAGUCCCCAUGCAGAACACGUGGUCGAUAGGCCGGACGUGGAAGCCCCGCGAGGGGUGGAGCCGACCGGUACUAACGGACGAAAGGCAU